Molecule: ribosomal RNA, 666 nt
Filed under: Pholcus taita
Lineage: Eukaryota; Metazoa; Arthropoda; Arachnida; Araneae; Pholcidae
Description: eukaryotic LSU rRNA
Rfam family: Eukaryotic large subunit ribosomal RNA
Source: RNAcentral
UUUGAGAGAGAGUUCAAGAGUGCGUGAAACUGCUCGGAGGUAAACGGGUGGGCCCUCGAACGGUCCUCGCCWGGUGGUUCGGUCGGAGAGGAGCGAGUAAGUUGGCGGAGAGAAGAGUUCUGUUAAGGACGUCUGCGCCUUCBUUGUGCUCGAGACUCCCGGUGCAUUCCAUCCGGUAAGGACGUCGCAGCCGGUUGGGCGUGGUCAGCCUAAAAAGCGGGCAAUGGCAGGUGGCAGCGGAAUCCCUCCGCUGUGUCUAGUCGGCCCGUUCGUGGCGUGAUCCCCGACCGAGGACGAGAUCUCCUCUGUUGGAGACUUGCCGUGCUCUGGCCUUAGCUAGCGGGAUUACCCGCGGUGAGCGUACGCAGCUGGCGACAUACAUCGGUCGCCCACCCGACCCGUCUUGAAACACGGACCAAGGAGUCUAACAUGUGCGCGAGUCAGUGGAACUCGAACAAGCCCACGGGCAGAACGAAAGUGAACGAUGUCGGGAUCCUCGCAGUCGAGGCGCACCGACGGCCUGACGCCUUUCAUAGGCGUCGGAGCAAGAGCGUACACGUUGGGACCCGAAAGACGGUGAACUAUUCCUGGGCAGGAUGAAGCCGGGGGAAACUCCGGUGGAGGUCCGCAGCGGUUCUGACGUGCAAUUCGAUCGUCAAACCCGGG